Molecule: transfer RNA, 74 nt
Filed under: Chloroflexota bacterium
Lineage: Bacteria; Bacillati; Chloroflexota
Description: Chloroflexi bacterium (freshwater metagenome) tRNA-Gln
Rfam family: tRNA
About the family: Transfer RNA (tRNA) molecules are approximately 80 nucleotides in length.
Source: RNAcentral
UGAGCCGUGGUGCAGUGGCAGCACAGAGGACUUUGGAUCCUUUGACCGUGGUUCGAAUCCACGCGGCUCAGCCU